GAUGAAGAACGUAGUAAAAUGCGAUACUUGGUGUGAAUUGCAGAAUCCCGUGAACCAUCGAGUUUUUGAACGCAAGUUGCGCCCGAAGCCUUUUGGCCGAGGGCACGUCUGCCUGGGCGUCACGCAUCGCGUCGCCCCCCACAAUUCUCCGUAAAGGGAACGUGUGUUUUGGGGGCGGAUAUUGGUCUCCCGUGCUCAUGGCGUGGUUGGCCGAAAUAGGAGUCCUUUCGAUGGACGCACGAACUAGUGGUGGUCGUAAAAACCCUCGUCUUUUGUUUCGUGCUGUUGCUCGCAAGGUAAACUCUUUAAAAACCCCAAUGUUUCGUCUCUUGACGACGCUUCGACCGCGACCCCAGGUCAGGCGGGACUACCCGCUGAGUUUAAGCAUAUCAAUAAGCGGAGGA
RNAcentral lists this unclassified non-coding RNA (404 nucleotides) under soil metagenome. RNAcentral describes it as "partial contains 5.8S ribosomal RNA, internal transcribed spacer 2, and large subunit ribosomal RNA". The stretch from base 1 to 122 matches the Rfam family "5.8S ribosomal RNA", at positions 35 to 154 of the family's 154-position model. The record is from RNAcentral.